This 522-nucleotide ribosomal RNA is filed under the name Clostridioides difficile. Its description in RNAcentral is "bacterial SSU rRNA". It matches the Rfam family "Bacterial small subunit ribosomal RNA", at positions 1018 to 1533 of the family's 1533-position model. Lineage: Bacteria; Bacillati; Bacillota; Clostridia; Peptostreptococcales; Peptostreptococcaceae. The record is from RNAcentral.
CUUCGGGCACAUUGGUGACAGGUGGUGCAUGGUUGUCGUCAGCUCGUGUCGUGAGAUGUUGGGUUAAGUCCCGCAACGAGCGCAACCCUUGUCUUUAGUUGCCAUCAUUAAGUUGGGCACUCUAGAGAGACUGCCAGGGAUAACCUGGAGGAAGGUGGGGAUGACGUCAAAUCAUCAUGCCCCUUAUGCUUAGGGCUACACACGUGCUACAAUGGGUAGUACAGAGGGUUGCCAAGCCGUAAGGUGGAGCUAAUCCCUUAAAGCUACUCUCAGUUCGGAUUGUAGGCUGAAACUCGCCUACAUGAAGCUGGAGUUACUAGUAAUCGCAGAUCAGAAUGCUGCGGUGAAUGCGUUCCCGGGUCUUGUACACACCGCCCGUCACACCACGGGAGUUGGAGACGCCCGAAGCCGAUUAUCUAACCUUUUGGAAGAAGUCGUCGAAGGUGGAAUCAAUAACUGGGGUGAAGUCGUAACAAGGUAGCCGUAUCGGAAGGUGCGGCUGGAUCACCUCCUUUCUAAGGA